RNAcentral lists this long non-coding RNA (254 nucleotides) under Theobroma cacao (cacao). RNAcentral's name for it is "long non-coding RNA (TCAC_LNC003740)". Lineage: Eukaryota; Viridiplantae; Streptophyta; Magnoliopsida; Malvales; Malvaceae. The record is from RNAcentral.
UUUUUUUUUUUCAUUUUUUGGACUUUUUUGGUUUCCUAUUCAUUUUCUCUCUUUCUUUUGAAGUACGUGUUUCGCUUUUGAGGAUAAAGUGAUCAUCUUUGUUGAUGGUUUCUCCAACGGUUUCAGUUGCACUCACUGAAUCGGCAGGUCAAUGCAUGUUUGCUACUUGAGAAUCAAUGCCAAAGACACCAUCCACAUGGCUAAACCCAUCGUAUCUCAUCCUUUUCUUUUAUUGUGAAAAGUGCAAAGAAAGC